This 2806-nucleotide ribosomal RNA is filed under the name Salmonella enterica subsp. enterica serovar Typhimurium. Its description in RNAcentral is "23S ribosomal RNA". It matches the Rfam family "Bacterial large subunit ribosomal RNA". Lineage: Bacteria; Pseudomonadati; Pseudomonadota; Gammaproteobacteria; Enterobacterales; Enterobacteriaceae. The record is from RNAcentral.
UAUGAACCGUUAUAACCGGCGAUACCCGAAUGGGGAAACCCAGUGUGACUCGUCACACUAUCAUUAACUGAAUCCAUAGGUUAAUGAGGCGAACCGGGGGAACUGAAACAUCUAAGUACCCCGAGGAAAAGAAAUCAACCGAGAUUCCCCCAGUAGCGGCGAGCGAACGGGGAGGAGCCCAGAGCCUGAAUCAGCAUGUGUGUUAGUGGAAGCGUCUGGAAAGGCGCGCGAUACAGGGUGACAGCCCCGUACACAAAAGCGCAUGUGCUGUGAGCUCGAUGAGUAGGGCGGGACACGUGGUAUCCUGUCUGAAUAUGGGGGGACCAUCCUCCAAGGCUAAAUACUCCUGACUGACCGAUAGUGAACCAGUACCGUGAGGGAAAGGCGAAAAGAACCCCGGCGAGGGGAGUGAAAAAGAACCUGAAACCGUGUACGUACAAGCAGUGGGAGCCCCACCACCAAAGCAUUCUCUGGUGUUGAAGGCCCUGCAAAGCAGCAUCGCGGUGGCGGAGCGUCGUUUGCGACGCCCAACACACAAAACAAGCGGUGAAUGCUUUGGGGUGGGGUGACUGCGUACCUUUUGUAUAAUGGGUCAGCGACUUAUAUUCUGUAGCAAGGUUAACCGAAUAGGGGAGCCGGAGGGAAACCGAGUCUUAAUUGGGCGUUAAGUUGCAGGGUAUAGACCCGAAACCCGGUGAUCUAGCCAUGGGCAGGUUGAAGGUUGGGUAACACUAACUGGAGGACCGAACCGACUAAUGUUGAAAAAUUAGCGGAUGACCUGUGGCUGGGGGUGAAAGGCCAAUCAAACCGGGAGAUAGCUGGUUCUCCCCGAAAGCUAUUUAGGUAGCGCCUCGUGAAUUCAUCUCCGGGGGUAGAGCACUGUUUCGGCUAGGGGGCCAUCCCGGCUUACCAACCCGAUGCAAACUGCGAAUACCGGAGAAUGUUAUCACGGGAGACACACGGCGGGUGCUAACGUCCGUCGUGAAGAGGGAAACAACCCAGACCGCCAGCUAAGGUCCCAAAGUCAUGGUUAAGUGGGAAACGAUGUGGGAAGGCCCAGACAGCCAGGAUGUUGGCUUAGAAGCAGCCAUCAUUUAAAGAAAGCGUAAUAGCUCACUGGUCGAGUCGGCCUGCGCGGAAGAUGUAACGGGGCUAAACCAUGCACCGAAGCUGCGGCAGCGACGCUGAUGCGUUGUNNNNNNNNNNNNNNNNNNNNNNNNNNNNNNNNNNNNNNNNNNNNNNNNNNNNNNNNNAUCAGAAGUGCGAAUGCUGACAUAAGUAACGAUAAAGCGGGUGAAAAGCCCGCUCGCCGGAAGACCAAGGGUUCCUGUCCAACGUUAAUCGGGGCAGGGUGAGUCGACCCCUAAGGCGAGGCCGAAAGGCGUAGUCGAUGGGAAACGGGUUAAUAUUCCCGUACUUGGUGUUACUGCGAAGGGGGGACGGAGAAGGCUAUGUUGGCCGGGCGACGGUUGUCCCGGUUUAAGCGUGUAGGUGUGUGUUCCAGGUAAAUCCGGUUCACUUUAACACUGAGGCGUGAUGACGAGGCACUACGGUGCUGAAGCAACAAAUGCCCUGCUUCCAGGAAAAGCCUCUAAGCAUCAGGUAACAUCAAAUCGUACCCCAAACCGACACAGGUGGUCAGGUAGAGAAUACCAAGGCGCUUGAGAGAACUCGGGUGAAGGAACUAGGCAAAAUGGUGCCGUAACUUCGGGAGAAGGCACGCUGACACGUAGGUGAAGUGAUUUACUCACGGAGCUGAAGUCAGUCGAAGAUACCAGCUGGCUGCAACUGUUUAUUAAAAACACAGCACUGUGCAAACACGAAAGUGGACGUAUACGGUGUGACGCCUGCCCGGUGCCGGAAGGUUAAUUGAUGGGGUCAGCGCAAGCGAAGCUCCUGAUCGAAGCCCCGGUAAACGGCGGCCGUAACUAUAACGGUCCUAAGGUAGCGAAAUUCCUUGUCGGGUAAGUUCCGACCUGCACGAAUGGCGUAAUGAUGGCCAGGCUGUCUCCACCCGAGACUCAGUGAAAUUGAACUCGCUGUGAAGAUGCAGUGUACCCGCGGCAAGACGGAAAGACCCCGUGAACCUUUACUAUAGCUUGACACUGAACAUUGAGCCUUGAUGUGUAGGAUAGGUGGGAGGCUUUGAAGUGUGGACGCCAGUCUGCAUGGAGCCGACCUUGAAAUACCACCCUUUAAUGUUUGAUGUUCUAACGUGGACCCGUAAUCCGGGUUGCGGACAGUGUCUGGUGGGUAGUUUGACUGGGGCGGUCUCCUCCUAAAGAGUAACGGAGGAGCACGAAGGUUGGCUAAUCCUGGUCGGACAUCAGGAGGUUAGUGCAAUGGCAUAAGCCAGCUUGACUGCGAGCGUGACGGCGCGAGCAGGUGCGAAAGCAGGUCAUAGUGAUCCGGUGGUUCUGAAUGGAAGGGCCAUCGCUCAACGGAUAAAAGGUACUCCGGGGAUAACAGGCUGAUACCGCCCAAGAGUUCAUAUCGACGGCGGUGUUUGGCACCUCGAUGUCGGCUCAUCACAUCCUGGGGCUGAAGUAGGUCCCAAGGGUAUGGCUGUUCGCCAUUUAAAGUGGUACGCGAGCUGGGUUUAGAACGUCGUGAGACAGUUCGGUCCCUAUCUGCCGUGGGCGCUGGAGAACUGAGGGGGGCUGCUCCUAGUACGAGAGGACCGGAGUGGACGCAUCACUGGUGUUCGGGUUGUCAUGCCAAUGGCACUGCCCGGUAGCUAAAUGCGGAAGAGAUAAGUGCUGAAAGCAUCUAAGCACGAAACUUGCCCCGAGAUGAGUUCUCCCUG